CUGGUCUUGAACUCCCAACCUCAAGUGAUCCACCCACCUCAGCCUCCCAAAGUGCUGGGAUUACAAGUGUGAGCCACCGCGCCCGGCCAGCAGUGGUCUUAAGCCACCAGCAAAGCCAUCUCCAACUCCUUCAGACCCUUCAGCAAAAGGCCAAAUGGCACUGGAUCCCCUCUGGGGUGGGGCUUUGUGAGGGCAGCUGUCGGCAUCAGCUCCCUGCCAAUACCUGCAGCCCUGCUGACAGUCUCGCUCCAAGUUACUUCCAGAGUCUUCAAGAGUGCCAACUGGGACCAGGACCCCAGACCACAGCCCCCCACACCGUCCUGGACCUGGAUUCUGACUGUGGUUCCACUGUACCCCUCACCUUAAUCUCUGGUUCUAACCAGACCUGAGCCUAGACUUCCACUUUUUCCCUUACCCCUGUGAGGGCCUGGGAACACUAGGUGGGCAGGGUUUGAGCCCACAGGACCUGCACACAAACUUCCCCACCUCUUGGACUUGGGGACAGGAUCUGUGCCUCAACCCAGACCAGCUUUGUAGGGAUAUGUUCCAAGAACAGAGAAGAGUCUUAUGGGGAAGGGGGAGGAAGGGAAGUAUGAAUAUUUACCUCUGACCAAUAAUAGAGGUGCCCUGGUCCCCAAAGAAAUUGACUCCCGAAUUCCCUCCAAGCCUUACCCAUAUAGCUUUUGUUUGUUUGUUUGUUUUCAGACAAGGUCUUGUUCUGUCCAGUGCCGUGGCGUGACCACAGCUCAUGACAACUUUGAUUUCCCCGGCCCAAGCGAGCCUCUCAUUCAGCCUCCUGAGUGGCUGGGACCACAGACGCCACACACAGCUAAUUUUUAUGUAUUCGUUUUUAUUUUUUUGCAGAGACAGGGUCUCCCUAUGUUGCCCAAGCUGGUCUUGAACUCCUGGGCUCAAGUGAUCCUCCUGCUUCAGCCUCCCAAAGUGCUAGGAUUAUAGCCACCGCACCUCGUCUUGAAAUAGCCUUUUAAAUGUUCACCUCAGCUUGCCUCACAGUGGUAAAAAUAAGCAUUUUUUUGUUUUGUAGGAUCAGGGAGCUUCCAAGGCAUUUGAUACCUUUUUGAUGGGAAGAAGGGCUCUGAGGAGCUCCAAGAUACCCCAACCUCCAGGCCCUUCAUUAGGGGGUAGUUGGGUUUCUGUUUGGCCUUUCCCCCUGGGCCCCAUAGGCUUAAACUACCCCCACCCCCACCUCCGCCUCCUACCUCAGCUGGGAGCACUGUCUUCCAUGGGGCUUCCACUUCUCUCCUCAACCUGGGGAAGACCACAGGGCAGUGCCUGCCUCAGGACCUGCCUUCCCCAAAAGCUGGCUUCUUGCUCCAAGGAGAGAGCAUUGACCCACCUGCCAGAGUCUUGCCUUUUGCCCAAAGGAGCCUGGUCUUCAGGGCUGCAUAGGAUGCAAGUGCCUUCUCUGCUUCUCACCGUGGGUGGCACUAAUUUCCUCCUUAACCAGAACUUUGUUCCAGCCACUGACCCAUUCUAACUCUUCCCCCUCUGACUCUCCUGCGCAGGGUCUGUUCCUGGUUUCCCAGAUGCAUAAAGGAAGACAUAUCCCUCCCCUGGGCAGCAAGGCUACAAUGGGAGGGAGGGAGAACAUGGGAGCAUGUGAAUAAAAUGGCAUUAAAUACUGAACCAGGGAGUCCAGCCUCUGCUGUUGCUGC
Molecule: long non-coding RNA, 1676 nt
Filed under: Homo sapiens (human)
Lineage: Eukaryota; Metazoa; Chordata; Mammalia; Primates; Hominidae
Description: non-protein coding lnc-ORMDL2-1:22
Source: RNAcentral